UGGCCUUGACAUUGAUAGAAUCCCGCAGAGAUGCAGGAGUGCCCUUCGGGGAGCUUGAAAACAGGUGCUGCACGGCUGUCGUCAGCUCGUGUCGUGAGAUGUUGGGUUAAGUCCCGCAACGAGCGCAACCCUCGUCACUAGUUACUAACGGUUCGGCCGAGGACUCUAGUGAGACUGCCUUCGUAAGGAGGAGGAAGGUGAGGACGACGUCAAGUCAUCAUGGCCCUUACGGCCAGGGCGACACACGUGCUACAAUGGGAAGGACAAUGAGACGCAAUACCGCGAGGUGGAGCAAAUCUAUAAACCUUCUCUCAGUUCGGAUAGCUCUCUGCAACUCGAGAGCUUGAAGCUGGAAUCACUAGUAAUCGUAGAUCAGCCAUGCUACGGUGAAUACGUUCCCGGGUCU
RNAcentral lists this ribosomal RNA (406 nucleotides) under uncultured bacterium. Its description in RNAcentral is "bacterial SSU rRNA". It matches the Rfam family "Bacterial small subunit ribosomal RNA", at positions 976 to 1381 of the family's 1533-position model. The record is from RNAcentral.